GUCUAUGGCCAUGACACCCUGAAUGUGCCCGAUCCUGUCUCAUCUCAGAAGCUAAGCAAGGUCAAGCCUGGUUAGUACUUGGAUGGGAGACUACUUAGGAAUACCAGGUGCUAUAGGCU
This 119-nucleotide ribosomal RNA is filed under the name Pteropus alecto (black flying fox). Lineage: Eukaryota; Metazoa; Chordata; Mammalia; Chiroptera; Pteropodidae. The record is from RNAcentral.